AACCAGCCCCCAGAGUGGUAAGGACGAUUAUUUGGCCUAAAGCGUCCGUAGCCGGCCCGGCAAGUCCCCCGUGAAAUCCGGCGACUCGAUCGUCGGGCGUGCGGGGGAUACUACGGGGCUUGGGGACGGGAGAGGUCGACGGUACUCCAGGGGCAGGGGUGAAAUCCUAUAAUCCUUGGAGGACCACCAGUGGCGAAGGCGGUCGACUAGAACGUGCCUGACGGUGAGGGACGAAAGCUGGGGAGCGAACCGGAUUAGAUACCCGGGUAGUCCCAGCUGUAAACGAUGCGGGCUAGGUGUUGGGGUAGCUACGAGCUACUCCAGUGCCGCAGAGAAGUUGUUAAGCCCGCCGCCUGGGGAGUACGGCCGCAAGGCUGAAACUUAAAGGAAUUGGCGGGGGAGCACCACAAGGGGUGAAGCUUGCGGUUU
Molecule: ribosomal RNA, 429 nt
Filed under: uncultured archaeon
Lineage: Archaea
Description: bacterial SSU rRNA
Rfam family: Archaeal small subunit ribosomal RNA
Source: RNAcentral